This 408-nucleotide ribosomal RNA is filed under the name uncultured bacterium. Its description in RNAcentral is "partial 16S ribosomal RNA". It matches the Rfam family "Bacterial small subunit ribosomal RNA", at positions 28 to 526 of the family's 1533-position model. The record is from RNAcentral.
GACGAACGCUGGCGGCGUGCUUAACACAUGCAAGUCGAACGAAGUGGCGAACGGGUGAGUAACGCGUAAUCAACCUGCCCUUCAGAGGGGGACAACAGUUGGAAACGACGGCUAAUACCGCAUACGGAAGGAGGGGAUUGCGUCUGAUUAGCUGGUUGGAGGGGUAACGGCCCACCAAGGCGACGAACAGUAGCCGGUCCGAGAGGAUGAACGGCCACCUUGGGACCUGGAACCGGCCCCGACUCCCACGGGAGGCAACAGUGGGGAAUCUUCCGGAAUGGACGAAAGUCUGACGGAGCAACGCCACGUUAGUGAUGACGGCCUUCGGGUUGUAAAGCUCUGUUAAUCGGGACGCGGUACCGGAAUAGAAAGCCACGGCUAACUACGUGCCAGCAGCCGCGGUAAUAC